GACGAACGCUGGUGGCGUGCCUAAUACAUGCAAGUAGAACGCUGAAGGAGGAGCUUGCUUCUCUGGAUGAGUUGCGAACGGGUGAGUAACGCGUAGGUAACCUGCCUGGUAGCGGGGGAUAACUAUUGGAAACGAUAGCUAAUACCGCAUAAUAUUGACUAUUGCAUGAUAGUCAGUUGAAAGGUGCAACUGCACCACUACCAGAUGGACCUGCGUUGUAUUAGCUAGUUGGUGGGGUAACGGCUCACCAAGGCGACGAUACAUAGCCGACCUGAGAGGGUGAUCGGCCACACUGGGACUGAGACACGGCCCAGACUCCUACGGGAGGCAGCAGUAGGGAAUCUUCGGCAAUGGACGGAAGUCUGACCGAGCAACGCCGCGUGAGUGAAGAAGGUUUUCGGAUCGUAAAGCUCUGUUGUAAGAGAAGAACGAGUGUGAGAGUGGAAAGCUCACACUGUGACGGUAUCUUACCAGAAAGGGACGGCUAACUACGU
Molecule: ribosomal RNA, 494 nt
Filed under: uncultured bacterium
Lineage: Bacteria
Description: partial 16S ribosomal RNA
Rfam family: Bacterial small subunit ribosomal RNA
Source: RNAcentral